Long non-coding RNA from Morone saxatilis (striped sea-bass), 707 nucleotides. RefSeq lists it as uncharacterized. Lineage: Eukaryota; Metazoa; Chordata; Actinopteri; Moronidae. The record is from RefSeq and is a predicted model, not a curated record. The transcript is spliced from 2 exons.
AAACCAGAGUUUGUUUUUCUCUCUUCUCUUCAGGACUCUGGGUUAUAAGAACCGGUACGUUCGAGUUCCCGACGGUCACUUCUGGAUCGAGGGGGAUCAUCACGGACACAGUCUGGACAGCAACAGCUUUGGACCGGUGUCAGUGGGGUUGCUUCAUGGUCGGGCCUCUCACAUCAUCUGGCCCCCAAAUCGCUGGCAGCAAAUCAAACCGUCUCUUCCCCCAAACCGAGGACCACUGGACACUGAGGAAGACGAUUGAUGAAGGAUGAGUAAUGUCAUCUAAACUGAAGUGAGGUGUCAGUUAGCUGCAGUGUUUCAAGGACAAAUUCAAACCACACGUUGUAUCAUUAGUAUUUUAUCUAAAAUGUACAUUUGCGGAGGCUCUCCGAGUUCGAUUACUGAUCAUGUAAAUUGUUCGACUGUACAUUGAUUUGUUCAUGUUGCCACAGUCCAGUUAACAGGGACUCGAACCUGUGACGUUUGCAGGUUAUUUGAGCCACAACCACAUUAAGAGCUGAAGUCCUGACCUAGACCUCAAAACAACUAGUUGAUUAUGAUGAUUGAUUGUUUUUUAAGCAAAAAUGCCAAAUAUUCUCUGUUUCCAGGGUCCUAAAUGUGAUGAUUUGCUGCUGUUCUGUUUUAUAUUGUUGUGAACUGAAUAUGUUUUAAACUGUCGAUCAAAUAAAAGAAGAGAUUUCAAGACAGAA